This 492-nucleotide ribosomal RNA is filed under the name uncultured bacterium. Its description in RNAcentral is "partial 16S ribosomal RNA". It matches the Rfam family "Bacterial small subunit ribosomal RNA", at positions 29 to 522 of the family's 1533-position model. The record is from RNAcentral.
AUUGAACGCUGGCGGCAUGCUUUACACAUGCAAGUCGAACGGUAACAGGUUAAGCUGACGAGUGGCGAACGGGUGAGUAAUGCAUCGGAACGUGCCCGAUCGUGGGGGAUAACGCAGCGAAAGCUGCGCUAAUACCGCAUACGAUCUGAGGAUGAAAGCGGGGGACCGUAAGGCCUCGCGCGAUCGGAGCGGCCGAUGUCAGAUUAGGUAGUUGGUGGGGUAAAGGCCCACCAAGCCGACGAUCUGUAGCUGGUCUGAGAGGACGAACAGCCACACUGGGACUGGGACGCGGCCCAGACGCCGACGGGAGGCAUCAGUGGUGAAUUUUGGACAAUGGGCGAAAGCCUGAUCCAGCAAUGCCGCGUGCAGGAAGAAGGCCUUCGGGUUGUAAACUGCUUUUGUACGGAGCGAAAAGGUCCUUUCUAAUCCAAGGGGCUCAUGACGGUACCGUAAGAAUAAGCACCGGCUAACUACGUGCCAGCCGCCGCGUAA